CUGGAGCGACCUGCAAAAUAAGUCUCAAAUCGGAGAUUGUGGCUCCGGCGAGAACCCUUCGAUAUUCAAGUUAAAAAAGCAGAGAACAAGAAAGCAGCAAUGAGUUCUCUGGGAGGGAUUCGAUUGAACUUACCUGGGUCCUCGGGGCUCUGGCUAUUUAUAUAGAAGGAUGUUGGAUAGCUGGAUUAUUAGCUGUGAGAUUGUACGAUCUCGAGAUUGUCAGAUCAUUGGACAUGCCAAACUGGGCGAGAUAAUUCAGCUCUUAAACGCUCCCGC
RNAcentral lists this long non-coding RNA (276 nucleotides) under Elaeis guineensis (African oil palm). Its description in RNAcentral is "long non-coding RNA (EGUI_LNC026402)". The record is from RNAcentral. Lineage: Eukaryota; Viridiplantae; Streptophyta; Magnoliopsida; Arecales; Arecaceae.